GUCAAACUGGCAGAUAAGUGCGUCCGACUUAGGAUCGGGAAUAUGUAGACUCUACGUUUGACUC
RNAcentral lists this transfer RNA (64 nucleotides) under Notomastus sp. GK-2021. Its description in RNAcentral is "tRNA-Leu". The record is from RNAcentral. Lineage: Eukaryota; Metazoa; Annelida; Polychaeta; Capitellidae.